RNAcentral lists this ribosomal RNA (372 nucleotides) under uncultured organism. RNAcentral describes it as "bacterial SSU rRNA". It matches the Rfam family "Bacterial small subunit ribosomal RNA", at positions 526 to 896 of the family's 1533-position model. The record is from RNAcentral.
CGGGGGGGGCAAGCGUUGUUCGGAAUUACUGGGCGUAAAGGGCUCGUAGGCGGCCAACUAAGUCGGACGUGAAAUCCCUCGGCUCAACCGGGGAACUGCGUCCGAUACUGGAUGGCUUGAAUCCGGGAGAGGGAUGCGGAAUUCCAGGUGUAGCGGUGAAAUGCGUAGAUAUCUGGAGGAACACCGGUGGCGAAGGCGGCAUCCUGGACCGGCAUUGACGCUGAGGAGCGAAAGCCAGGGGAGCAAACGGGAUUAGAUACCCCGGUAGUCCUGGCCCUAAACGAUGAAUGCUUGGUGUGGCGGGUAUCGAUCCCUGCCGUGCCGAAGCUAACGCAUUAAGCAUUCCGCCUGGGGAGUACGGUCGCAAGGCUG